AAUUUGCCUCUGUCAAUCUAUCUACUGCUGCUAAUCUAUCGCCGCUGUCAAUCUAUCUCUCACUGCUAAGCUAUCCCUCACUGCUAAGCUAUCACUGCCAAUCUAUCGCUGCUAAUCUAUCGCUGCCAACCUAUCUACCGCGGCGAAUCUAUCUAUCGCUGCCAAUUUAUCUACCACUGCCAAUCUAUCUAUCGCUGCCAAUCUAUUGCUGCUAAUCUAUCGCUGCUAAUCUAUCGCUGCUGCCAAUCUAUCUAUCGCUGCUAAUCUAUCGCCGCUGCCAAUCUAUCCCUCGCUGCUAAGCUAUCCCUCACUGCUAAGCUAUCCCUCGCUGCUAAGCUAUCCCUCACUACUAAGCUAUCUAUUGCUGCUAAUCUAUCACUGCUAAUCUAUCGCUGCUAAUCUAUCGCUGCUAAUCUAUCGCUGCCAAUCUAUCGCUGCCAACCUAUCUACUGCAGUGAAUAGGCUGGCCGGUGGGACCAUGAAUUUCAUGUUUGGUUUGGUUUGGUUUGGUCCCAGUCCAUUUCUUGGUGUGAUUUUCAGUGAGACCAGGAUCAGAAUGGGAGUGUAAAGUGACUAGAAUUAUUAGAACAUGAGUGAAAUGGGACUAAUAAAUCUUGAUAUUUCAUGUAAAGUGACUGACUAUCAAAAAUAAGAACAUGAUCUGGGACUGACUAUGAUUUUGACUGAGGUUUGGUCCUGUUCUGAUGAUUAUAUAAUACAUAUCUUAGAUAUCAAUCUGAUGAUAUGAUUGGUGGAGAUAUCACCCCUAUCUAGUGCUGUCAACCAAUCUAUUGCUGCCAAGCUAUCCCUCACUGCUAAGCUAUCACUGCCAACCUAUCUACCGCGGCGAAUCUAUCUAUCGCUGCCAAUUUAUCUACCACUGCCAAUCUAUCUAUCGCUGCCAAUCUAUUGCUGCUAAUCUAUCGCUGCUGCCAAUCUAUCUAUCGCUGCUAAUCUAUCGCUGCUAAUCUAUCACUGCCAACCUAUCUAUUGCUGCCAAUUUAUCUACCACUGCCAAUCUAUCUAUCACUGCUAAUCUAUCGCUGCCAACCUAUCUACCGCGGCGAAUCUAUCCAUCACUGCCAAUUUAUCUACCACUGUCAAUCUAUCUAUUGCUGCUAAUCUAUCACUGCUAAUCUAUCACUGCUAAUCUAUUGCUGCUAAUCUAUUGCUGCUGCCAAUCUAUCUAUCACUGCUAAUCUAUUGCUGCUAAUCUAUCACUGCUAAUCUAUCGCUGCUAAUCUAUCGCUGCUAAUCUAUCACUGCUAAUCUAUCGCUGCCAACCUAUCUACCGCGGCGAAUCUAUCUAUUGCUGCCAACCAAUCUACCACUGCCAAUCUAUCUAUCACUGCCAAUCUAUCACUGCCAAUCUAUCGCUGCCAACCUAUCUACUGCAGUGAAUCUAUCUAUCACUAUCAUUACUAGUUCAAAAUAGAACUAGAGCAUAAAUACACUAAACUUCUUUUGAUAGAUAAUGAUUUUUGAUAACACUCAUAGCAUUAUAUCAUCUAUAUAGGGUAAAUCAUGGUCCCAUUUGGUCCCAUUUUAAAUGGGACCAGAAUCAGUAAUUUAUAAGAAGAACAUGACCUGGGACUAGAUUUAUAAUAUAAACAGUGUAAAGUGACUAAUUUAAUAAACACUAUAUGGAACCAGAACUAAGAAAUUUGAUAAUGGA
This 1675-nucleotide small RNA is filed under the name Histoplasma ohiense. RNAcentral describes it as "hypothetical lncRNA". Lineage: Eukaryota; Fungi; Ascomycota; Eurotiomycetes; Onygenales; Ajellomycetaceae. The record is from RNAcentral.